GACGAACGCUGGCGGCGUGCUUAACACAUGCAAGUCGAACGGAAAGGCCCUGCUUUUGUGGGGUGCUCGAGUGGCGAACGGGUGAGUAACACGUGAGUAACCUGCCCUUGACUUUGGGAUAACUUCAGGAAACUGGGGCUAAUACCGGAUAGGAGCUCCUGCUGCAUGGUGGGGGUUGGAAAGUUUCGGCGGUUGGGGAUGGACUCGCGGCUUAUCAGCUUGUUGGUGGGGUAGUGGCUUACCAAGGCUUUGACGGGUAGCCGGCCUGAGAGGGUGACCGGCCACAUUGGGACUGAGAUACGGCCCAGACUACUACGGGAGGCAGAAGUGGGGAAUAUUGCACAAUGGGCGGAAGCCUGAUGCAGCAACGCCGCGUGCGGGAUGACGGCCUUCGGGUUGUAAACCGCUUUCGCCUGUGACGAAGCGUGAGUGACGGUAAUGGGUAAAGAAGAACCGGCUAACUACGUG
Molecule: ribosomal RNA, 468 nt
Filed under: uncultured bacterium
Lineage: Bacteria
Description: partial 16S ribosomal RNA
Rfam family: Bacterial small subunit ribosomal RNA
Source: RNAcentral